Molecule: ribosomal RNA, 253 nt
Filed under: uncultured bacterium
Lineage: Bacteria
Description: partial 16S ribosomal RNA
Rfam family: Bacterial small subunit ribosomal RNA
Source: RNAcentral
UACGUAGGGUACGAGCGUUAUCCGGAAUUAUUGGGCGUAAAGCGCGCGCAGGCGGUUUCUUAAGUCUGAUGUGAAAGCCCACGGCUCAACCGUGGAGGGUCAUUGGAAACUGGGGAACUUGAGUGCAGAAGAGAAAAGCGGAAUUCCACGUGUAGCGGUGAAAUGCGUAGAGAUGUGGAGGAACACCAGUGGCGAAGGCGGCUUUUUGGUCUGUAACUGACGCUGAGGCGCGAAAGCGUGGGGAGCAAACAGG